This 453-nucleotide ribosomal RNA is filed under the name Anaplasma marginale. Its description in RNAcentral is "bacterial SSU rRNA". It matches the Rfam family "Bacterial small subunit ribosomal RNA", at positions 73 to 559 of the family's 1533-position model. The record is from RNAcentral. Lineage: Bacteria; Pseudomonadati; Pseudomonadota; Alphaproteobacteria; Rickettsiales; Anaplasmataceae.
ACGCAGCUGCUGCGUGUAUGGUUAGUGGCAGACGGGUGAGUAAUGCAUAGGAAUCUACCUAGUAGUAUGGGAUAGCCACUAGAAAUGGUGGGUAAUACUGUAUAAUCCCUGCGGGGGAAAGAUUUAUCGCUAUUAGAUGAGCCUAUGUCAGAUUAGCUAGUUGGUGGGGUAAUGGCCUACCAAGGCGGUGAUCUGUAGCUGGUCUGAGAGGAUGAUCAGCCACACUGGAACUGAGACACGGUCCAGACUCCUACGGGAGGCAGCAGUGGGGAAUAUUGGACAAUGGGCGCAAGCCUGAUCCAGCUAUGCCGCGUGAGUGAGGAAGGCCUUAGGGUUGUAAAACUCUUUCAGUAGGGAAGAUAAUGACGGUACCUACAGAAGAAGUCCCGGCAAACUCCGUGCCAGCAGCCGCGGUAAUACGGAGGGGGCAAGCGUUGUUCGGAUUUUUUGGGG